RNAcentral lists this ribosomal RNA (274 nucleotides) under uncultured bacterium. RNAcentral's name for it is "partial 16S ribosomal RNA". It matches the Rfam family "Bacterial small subunit ribosomal RNA", at positions 523 to 796 of the family's 1533-position model. The record is from RNAcentral.
AUACGGAGGGAGCUAGCGUUGUUCGGAAUUACUGGGCGUAAAGCGCACGUAGGCGGCUUUGUAAGUCAGAGGGGAAAGCCUGGAGCUCAACUCCAGAACUGCCUUUGAGACUGCAUCGCUUGAAUCCAGGAGAGGUCAGUGGAAUUCCGAGUGUAGAGGUGAAAUUCGUAGAUAUUCGGAAGAACACCAGUGGCGAAGGCGGCUGACUGGACUGGUAUUGACGCUGAGGUGCGAAAGCGUGGGGAGCAAACAGGAUUAGAAACCCUAGUAGUCC